Molecule: ribosomal RNA, 460 nt
Filed under: uncultured bacterium
Lineage: Bacteria
Description: partial 16S ribosomal RNA
Rfam family: Bacterial small subunit ribosomal RNA
Source: RNAcentral
CCUACGGGUGGCAGCAGUGAGGAAUAUUGGUCAAUGGACGCGACUCUGAACCAGCCAAGUAGCGUGCGGGAUGACGGUCCAGAGUGUUGUAAACUUCUUUUGUCAGGGAAUAAACUCAGUCACGCGUGCCUGGUUGAGUGUACCGCAUGAAUAAGCACCGGCUAAUUCCGUGCCAGCAGCCGCGGUAAUACGGAGGGUCCGAGCGUUAUCCGGAUUUAUUGGGUUUAAAGGGAGCGCAGGCGGGCCGUUAAGCGUGUUGUGAAAGGCCGGGGCUCAACCGUGGCACCGCGGUGGGAACUGGCAGGCUCGAGUUGGACAGAGGUAGGCGGAAUUCGUGGUGUAGCGGUGAAAUGCAUAGAUAUCGCGCAGAACUCCGAUUGCGAAGGCAGCAUGCCGGCUCCACACUGACGCUGAGGCUCGAAGGCGCGGGUAUCGAACAGGAUUAGAUACCCCAGUAGUC